Molecule: unclassified non-coding RNA, 295 nt
Filed under: Hevea brasiliensis (rubber tree)
Lineage: Eukaryota; Viridiplantae; Streptophyta; Magnoliopsida; Malpighiales; Euphorbiaceae
Source: RNAcentral
UCCAUAUGAUUGGAUUAACAAACAAAAGUCCAAUCAACAUUGGCUUAAAAAAGAAGGGGAGAAGUUUCUCUUUCCUGGUGGUGGUACAAUGUUUCCUAAUGGAGUUGGUGCCUAUGUUGAUUUGAUGCAAGAUUUGAUUCCGCAAAUGAAAGAUGGGACAAUCCGAACUGCCAUUGAUACUGGAUGUGGGGUAGCAAGCUGGGGAGGUGAUUUACUGGAUCGUGGAAUUUUGACAGUCUCUCUUGCCCCAAGGGACAAUCACCAGGCUCAGGUUCAGUUUGCUCUGGAACGUGGA